This is a long non-coding RNA of Onychostoma macrolepis, 4359 nucleotides long. RefSeq lists it as uncharacterized. The record is from RefSeq and is a predicted model, not a curated record. Lineage: Eukaryota; Metazoa; Chordata; Actinopteri; Cypriniformes; Cyprinidae. The transcript has 4 exons.
GACCUGGUAUUAAACAAAUGCUUGCGAAGCAUUUGCGAUCUUGUAAGCAGGUAGCCAUAGCAACAGUACACGAGUUGAGCGAUUUUUUACGAAAACUUCAUCGGAUGGAACUUUGACAAAACAGUGUCAAUAUUUGACCUUUAUAGUGUUUUUAGUCAUAAACAUAUAUCUGAAGUUAGUCAGGGCACGUAUUUACACCUGGCCUUAAAUACAGGCUUGCGAACAGGUAUUGCAUCUCUUGAGGAGAUCACCAUGGCAACAGUAAGCGACUUGAGCGAUUUAUCGGCUAAAACCAAAACAGUGCCAUUAUUUGUCACUUUAUAGUGUUAUUUAUCAGAAACAUACCUCAAAAAUGUCAGUACAAGUUAGUCAGGACUCAUAAUUUUACCUGGCCUUAAACAAGGGAAUUGAUAUCGGUAACCAUAGCAACAGUAUACGACUUGAGCGCUUUAUGAAAGUGUCAUAAUCGGAUGGAAAGUUAACCAAACAGUGCCGAUAUUUUACAUUUAUAGAUCAGAAAAUAUUUACAUCAUAAACAUAUCUCAAAAAGUCAGUGUUUUGUUAAAGAAAAAAGUCUAACGUUGAUAUUAGCUAACUGGAUCCUCCGAAAUGAACUAAAAGUUUUAACCCUUGAAAGUAUAGCUGUAAUGGCCACAGUAGUAGGCUUAUCUCAGAUAAUUAAAAAGAAUAAUUUAUUUAUGUCAUAAAUGAAACAAAUGUGAGCAUUCAUAACGUUCUUCAUGUGUUCUUUUAUUUGUUCAAUUCCAUCACUGAGGGUCAAUCUCUGUGGUCUCCCCCCUAAACACGGGGCUUCAUUGGACAAUUCCAUCUGAUGAAGUUGAAAAAGGCGAAUCAACCUGUUCCACAGCAGACCCAGAGCCGCUGCGUCUGCUCUCCAGUCCGAACAUGAUCAACACCGGCCGGCUUUCUCCAGAUGAUCGCUCAUGAUGCGCCUUCACCGGGAACGCGUGUGAAUGAAACGCUGGAGAUGUCAACGCGAGAGACUCUAGCGUCAAAAGCCAAAGGUCUGGUCUGAUGGUGAGGAGCGAGCCGAGCAUCCAUGCGCCUCAGCGGACUGUUGCGAAUUGCUGAAAUGCAGUCUCUCAUCUCACCAGUGACUAAGGCUAUCCUUGUAGCUCUGUUUAUUUUUGCCAUUUUGCUCAUCCUCUAUGUGAUACUGUGGUAUAUAUGCAGAGACGUGGACUGUGAUCACGGCAUUUGAUUUUGGAGACCGAAGCUGCGGAUCCGCGGAGAAGUCAGGGUGACCCCGUUUUGCACAAACAGAACGGCUGGGUUGUGACGCCAGAGGACUGGGCUAUGAGACAGUCAGACAGCUGAAGGAUCUGGGAGUUCAUGUCAUAAUCGCUGCUGUUAUGCUGGUUCCUGAAGGUCAAACUGAAGACGGGUUUGAGACUCAUUUUGCCACUAACUAUCUAGGCCACUUUUUGCUGACCCGCCUUCUGCUGGACAGCCUGGUGCAUUCUGGGAAGGAUGGCUCAUGCUCGAGGGUCGUCAGUGUCUCAUCCUCCGCACACUUCGCCGCUGACGCCCGUCUGCAGGAUCUUCUCAGCAUGUGAGUGGAAAAACACAGCACACGUCUGCAGUGGAAAUCAGUGACCCGAAGCCAGACGUAAUCUGCAGAUCUAGAGCGCAAAGAUGCUGGAAUAAAUCACAGAUAGGAGCCAUCCGGCCUGGAGCGAGAGGGCUUGACUCCGGCUGAAGGCUGAGGUUUCUCCGCAUCCGGAAGGAGUCGAUGGAUGGUCCUCAGCAGCGUCUUACGAUGAAGAUCUUCAGGCUGGACUCUGGAGAAACACCUGCGAUCUGCUGGACCUCCAGGACUCGGAGCUCCUUCGCUAACAUCAGCGCAGCUGAAGAAUGAACGAUGGACAAUCUCACACCGGAGAACUGUGAGGAGUCGCGUCGCUCCCGUUAUUUAUGCUUCUUCUGAAGGGCUCGGCGCUGUUGGAGGAUCACUGUGAACCACUGUGAGUGUCGAGCUUCAAAGCUCCUUUCCAGCGAAAUCUCCUGUGCUGCUGUACUUCAUUCUCUUCACACAAACCUCUGCUGCGUUUCUUUGGGCUCCUGAUCUGUAUUAUUAACCAAUGACACCUUCUUAAAAGUCAACACGACGGACUCAUUCCCUUAUAUCCAUGCUCUUAUUGUGAAUGAUUCAUCAGUGCGCGUUAUUUCGAGUAAGUAAUACGUUUGUCUUUGUAAUCGUUCAUCGUGUUCCCCAGCUAACUGGAAACGUUCCUAUAACGUUCUUUAAAGGUUAUGUGAAUGUUAAGACAGGCAUUCUUAGAAUAAUGUUUUAAUCUACGUUCUCGUAAUGUUGAGCGGAAACGUUCUCGGAAUAUACUUACGAUGUUAUUAGUACGUUCUCGGAACUUCAUGUUCGAUAAGAUUCAUCAGUAGCAACAAUGUGACGUUCUCGUAACGUUAUCAAAAUGAUCAAAUGGAAUGCAGUUGUUCUCAAACUUUUUAGGCAUUUAACGUCUUUCUGCGUACCCCUUCUCUCACGCUAGUCACAAAGUAUUUUAAAAACGUGCAUAUCAUUUGUAUGCAACCUAUUGUAUAUUUUUAAAUAAAUGACUAACCGAUGCACAUGUUGAAACAGAUGAUGCAACCCUCCUCUCCUUCUACACUUUUAAGCGUACCUGUUUGCCACCUUACCUUAUAUUUUUCCCUUCUCUUUUAUUCCACAUGAGUUUGAGAACCGCUGCUCUAAUGUUCUCAUUACCAAGAAAAUCAUGCGUAUAACUACGUCAACUGUGUUUAAAUGUUGAGAGGACAUUCAAAUGUAACAUUCUCAUAAUGUUUUAAAAAUGAUAGAAUGUAACAUUCCUCUAACAUUUAGAAAUGUUCUUUAAACAUCAGAACGGGUGAUUUGAGAGAACAUUUAAAUGUAACAUUUUCACAAUGUUUUCAAACUGAUAAAGGGAUUUUUUUCACUAAUUUCUGCAAGACAAAGAAAAAAGGUUCCUUAAAUAUGAUAAAAAUUGGUGUUGUAAAAGUUAAGAGAAUGUUCUCAUGCUGCAAAACCAGGAAAAAUUCUUAAUACAUAAACAUGUGUUUUCAACAUGUAAAAAAAAAAAAAAAAUUUAAUGAUUUCAAAAUGAUAAGAUGGAAUAUUCCAAAACCAAAAAGAAACAUUCUUUAUAAAAAUGGGUGCGUUUUCAAAAUGAUUGAAUGGAAUAUUUCUCUAAUGUUCACAUAACCAAAAAGAAACGUUCUUAAUGCAUCAAAAAAUCUGUACAUUUUCACAUUUAAAAAACAUUCAAAAUAACGCUUUCACAACUUAAUGUUAAUGUUGGCAAAACAUUCUUAGAAGGUCUUUUGUUAGCUGGGUCUAAACUCUCUUUCGUUAUGAUUAAAAUGGUUUGCAAACAGCGUUUGAUGUAGAGUUUUACUGUACUGCUCAACCUCUUGUGAACAGCAAAAACACACCGUUGUGCAAUCAAUACUUACAUUUAUUAACAAUGAUAACUAAGUUAUCAAUUAUUCCUCCAAGUGUUGUUCAUAAAUGCAAUUUUUCACAAUGAAAUUAACAUGCAUUUGAUUUACAGCAGGAUUCAGAGUAUGAGCGAUUCAUUCACAGUCCAUCAUUUUAAGAAAACAUCCAUAUUUUCAUGUUCAGAACUCUUGAAUUUAUCCUUUCACAAGACUGAAAUGCAGAAGCAUGAUUUGGUAUAUGACAAGCUCAUAUUGUUAUUCAAUCACACUCAUGUUCAAUGGUGCCAAAUGCAAAAUUAUACUAAACUUUGAAGGAAUAAUUGAGUGAAAAUGAUCGACUGUCCUGCAAACACAAACCCGAACGAAUUUCUCUCGUGUCUCACUGUCAACGUUUUUCUAUGAAAAUCUAAGAAACUGAAAGAAAGCAGGUGAAUCUUGGAACUACGGACUCUGGAUAUUGAUUUUUGAAUUUGCCUAAAAUAAUAACAGCGUUGCAUCUUGUGUUGUCUGAUGUUUUGUUUCUGAACUCAUGCUGUAAGCGUAGCUCUCUUUGAUUCAGGUCUGCUGUGUGAUAUUAAUUACUGUAGGUGUUAUUAAUAUUCUGUACUCUGAUGUCAGUGUCAUGCGUGUUGUGUUCACACACGUUCAUUUCUUCAGGAUGAAGCGCUGAUCACAGAUGAUGGUUCAUCUUCAUCUUUCAGAAGCUGUUAGGAUUAAAACAAUUUGCACUGUAAAAAAAAAUAAAUAAAAAAUUUGAGAGAUUUGCUAAAUGCUUUUAUGAUCUUGCAUAUGAAAUGCACUUUAGCAAGUAUAAUUUUGAAUGCAGGUGACAGUGUGACAUUGCACAGGUAAAUCUCACAAUAAAAAAUAAAAAUAAUAUUUAAUCCAAAAAAUAAUAAUAAAAUG